This 328-nucleotide ribosomal RNA is filed under the name uncultured eukaryote. RNAcentral's name for it is "partial 18S ribosomal RNA". It matches the Rfam family "Eukaryotic small subunit ribosomal RNA", at positions 1470 to 1796 of the family's 1831-position model. The record is from RNAcentral.
CCCUUAGAUGUCCGGGGCUGCACGCGCGCUACACUGAAGGAAUCAGCGUGCUAAAACCAUUGUCGAAAGGCAUUGGUAAACCCAUUAAAAUCCUACGUGAUUGGGAUCGGGAAUUGCAAUUAUUUCCCUUGAACGAGGAAUUCCCAGUAAGUGUGGGUCAUAAGCUCGCGUUGAUUACGUCCCUGCCCUUCGUACACACCGCCCGUCGCUGCCCGGGACUGAGCCGUUUCGAGAAAAGCGGGGACUGCUGCUGUCGGGGCUUUCGGGCCUUGGCUUCGGUGGAAACCGCUUUAAUCGCAGUGGCUUGAACCGGGCAAAAGUCGUAACA